This 859-nucleotide long non-coding RNA is filed under the name Mus musculus (house mouse). RNAcentral's name for it is "predicted gene, 31577". The record is from RNAcentral. Lineage: Eukaryota; Metazoa; Chordata; Mammalia; Rodentia; Muridae.
CAUGUCUGGUAAACUAAUACUGUGUAGACAAUGCUGCCAAUUUCAGCUACCAACACAAAAUGCAGCUUUCCCUACAAUCAGCAGUCUUCCUUGGACCACAGCUGCAGCAAGAAGCCUCUUCAUACCUUUCAUAAUGAACUUGAGGAAACACAUCUAUGGGCUGUGUCUGCCAUUGAAGACCCGUUCAUCAGCUCUGUGCUUUCAAACAAGUUUGUAUUUGUAUUUGUUGGAAGAUAGAAUCUUACCUCAGGGAGAUGUGGCCAUUAUUCUUUCACAGAAGACUCCUAUAAGCUCAAUAAGCAUUUCUUUCUAGGUUGGUUUUUAUAUGAGAUCUCUCAAGAUGGGUUUAUAGAAUCCAACAUCUAAGAACUCUGUUGACAAUGUCCAAUUGAGCUUAUUACAAAACCAACAGAGGAUAUUGAUUGAUGCAUUGGAUUUAAGAAGGCAAAAUUAAAAUACAAGAGUAUACUUCAAAACUCUGCCUGGCAAGAAAUGCUGAAGUACAGUGAUUGUUUACUCAGUUCUGGAAAAUACUUCUUGGAACUUCCUCUCCUAAGAGUAUGAACCUAGGACUCUGCUACUGAAAACCCUCCAGCACUCUGUCUGAUUCUACGACAGUAAGAGUUAUUCUGUGUUGAUCAUUGAAUUUCUACUACCUUUCUGUGUUGGGCUGAAUGGCUGUUCAGUUUGGCUCAACGAUAUGAAACUCGACUCCUGGAGGAAAGAGUGAAUCCCCUCGGCUGUGCUUUGGUCUUCCCAGCUGACUUGAGUCAUCCCACUCAGUGACCUCAUCUCCUUUCAUAUCUGAAUGUUCCAGCUAUGCCCACAGCACCAGGAACAUCUGAAGAAGAAAAUUUCC